RNAcentral lists this ribosomal RNA (516 nucleotides) under Triticum aestivum (bread wheat). Its description in RNAcentral is "partial small subunit ribosomal RNA". Lineage: Eukaryota; Viridiplantae; Streptophyta; Magnoliopsida; Poales; Poaceae. The record is from RNAcentral.
AUGGAAGAACGCAGCGCCAGCCUCCAUCGAUUCAAGAAUUGGAAGCCUCGAACACACUCUGCCAAAGGACAGAAAAUCAAUCAAUUGAGCGGAUUUAUCAUACUCCAAGCAGGAACAUCAGAACUUGAAAUUGGGCACAAUUUUCAAUUACACAAGGAAGACGCACAGAAAAGGAUAUGGGCGUUGGCAUCCAGGAUCACUCGAUCGAAAAUCCAUACCAAUAACUCGGACUCGAUUCCGGACGGAGGAAGGUCUAAGCGGCGGCCGCUCGUCCACUCUCCUCCUCCCUUUUCCCCCUGGAUGCGAUGGUUGAGGCCGCACCCGCGGCCUCCAUCGGCACAGCCGUCUACAGCGGCGACAACCACAUCCCGGCAGCAACGCUCCUCCCUCCGGAGGAGCACCACGGCCCGCCACGCAGCCCGGCAACAGAGACGGCCAACGCGCAUGCGGAGCGCAGUUCUCUCCGCCACACCUUGGCACGGCGGCGGCCUUCGGCUCCGACGCCGCUUCUCCUGA